RNAcentral lists this ribosomal RNA (305 nucleotides) under uncultured bacterium. Its description in RNAcentral is "bacterial SSU rRNA". It matches the Rfam family "Bacterial small subunit ribosomal RNA", at positions 332 to 636 of the family's 1533-position model. The record is from RNAcentral.
GAGUGCCUCGAGGCGCAGCAGUGAGGAAUAUUGGUCAAUGGGCGGGAGCCUGAACCAGCCAAGUCGCGUGAGGGAAGACGGUCCUAUGGAUUGUAAACCUCUUUAGGCGGGGAGCAAUGCCGGGCACGCGUGUCCGGAGGGAGAGUACCCGCAGAAUAAGCAUCGGCUAACUCCGUGCCAGCAGCCGCGGUAAUACGGAGGAUGCGAGCGUUAUCCGGAUUUAUUGGGUUUAAAGGGUGCGUAGGCGGAUUUUUAAGUCAGCGGUAAAAUGUCCGGGCUCAACCCGGGCCGGCCGUUGAAACUGG